GUGGGGAAUCUUGCGCAAUGGGCGAAAGCCUGACGCAGCCAUGCCGCGUGGAUGAUGAAGGUCUUAGGAUUGUAAAAUCCUUUCACCGGUGAAGAUAAUGACUGUAGCCGGAGAAGAAGCCCCGGCUAACUUCGUGCCAGCAGCCGCGGUAAUACGAAGGGGGCUAGCGUUGCUCGGAAUUACUGGGCGUAAAGGGAGCGUAGGCGGGCAUUUAAGUCAGGGGUGAAAUCCCGAGGCUCAACCUCGGAACUGCCUUUGAUACUGGGUGUGUUGAGUGUGAGAGAGGUGAGUGGAACUCCGAGUGUAGAGGUGAAAUUCGUAGAUAUUCGGAAGAACACCAGUGGCGAAGGCGACUCACUGGCUCAUUACUGACGCUGAGGCUCGAAAGCGUGGGGAGCAAACAGGAUUAGAAACCCCUGUAGUCC
Molecule: ribosomal RNA, 425 nt
Filed under: uncultured bacterium
Lineage: Bacteria
Description: partial 16S ribosomal RNA
Rfam family: Bacterial small subunit ribosomal RNA
Source: RNAcentral